Molecule: ribosomal RNA, 255 nt
Filed under: uncultured bacterium
Lineage: Bacteria
Description: partial 16S ribosomal RNA
Rfam family: Bacterial small subunit ribosomal RNA
Source: RNAcentral
UACAGAGGGGGCCAGCGUUAUUCGGAAUUAUUGGGCGUAAAGGGCGCGUAGGCUGCUUUGCGUGUCUUUCGUGAAAUCCCUCGGCUCAACUGAGGACGUGCGGAAGAAACUGCAGGGCUGGAGUCCGGGAGAGGAGGGUGGAAUUCCCAGUGUAGCGGUGAAAUGCGUAGAUAUUGGGAGGAACACCGGUGGCGAAGGCGGCCCUCUGGACCGGUACUGACGCUGAUGCGACGAAAGCGUGGGGGAGCAAACGGG